Molecule: ribosomal RNA, 458 nt
Filed under: uncultured Clostridium sp.
Lineage: Bacteria; Bacillati; Bacillota; Clostridia; Eubacteriales; Clostridiaceae
Description: bacterial SSU rRNA
Rfam family: Bacterial small subunit ribosomal RNA
Source: RNAcentral
AGCUGANGCAGCAACGCCGCGUGGGUGAUGACGGUUUUCGGAUUGUAAAGCCCUGUCUUNGGGGACGAUAAUGACGGUACCCGAGGAGGAAGCCACGGCUAAGUUANGUGCCAGCAGCCGCGGUAAUACGUAGGUGGCGAGCGUUGUCCGGAUUUACUGGGCGUAAAGGGUGCGUAGGCGGAUAUUUAAGUCAGAUGUGAAAUUCCCGGGCUCAACCUGGGCGCUGCAUUUGAUACUGGAUAUCUAGAGUGCAGGAGAGGAAAGCGGAAUUCCUAGUGUAGCGGUGAAAUGCGUAGAGAUUAGGAAGAACACCAGUGGCGAAGGCGGCUUUCUGGACUGCAACUGACGCUGAGGCACGAAAGCGUGGGGAGCGAACAGGAUUAGAUACCCUGGUAGUCCACGCCGUAAACGAUGGGUACUAGGUGUCGGGGGUCGAACCUCGGUCCCGCAGUUAACAC